GAUGAACGCUGGCGGCGUGCCUAAUACAUGCAAGUCGAGCGAACAGACGAGGAGCUUGCUCCUCUGACGUUAGCGGCGGACGGGUGAGUAACACGUGGAUAACCUACCUAUAAGACUGGGAUAACUUCGGGAAACCGGAGCUAAUACCGGAUAAUAUAUUGAACCGCAUGGUUCAAUAGUGAAAGACGGUUUUGCUGUCACUUAUAGAUGGAUCCGCGCCGCAUUAGCUAGUUGGUAAGGUAACGGCUUACCAAGGCAACGAUGCGUAGCCGACCUGAGAGGGUGAUCGGCCACACUGGAACUGAGACACGGUCCAGACUCCUACGGGAGGCAGCAGUAGGGAAUCUUCCGCAAGGGGCGAAAGCUUGACGGAGCAACGCCGCGUGAGUGAUGAAGGUCGUCGGAUCGUAAAACUCUGUUAUUAGGGAAGAACAAAUGUGUAAGUAACUAUGCACGUCUUGACGGUACCUAAUCAGAAAGCCACGGCUAACUACGUGC
This 498-nucleotide ribosomal RNA is filed under the name uncultured bacterium. RNAcentral's name for it is "partial 16S ribosomal RNA". It matches the Rfam family "Bacterial small subunit ribosomal RNA", at positions 28 to 508 of the family's 1533-position model. The record is from RNAcentral.